This 900-nucleotide ribosomal RNA is filed under the name Phagocata gracilis. Its description in RNAcentral is "16S ribosomal RNA". Lineage: Eukaryota; Metazoa; Platyhelminthes; Tricladida; Planariidae. The record is from RNAcentral.
CUAUAUUGUAAAUAAAAAAAUAACUUUGUGUGUCACGGAAUAUAUAAUUUAUUUAUUAUUAAAUUUUCCGAAUAAUAGUGGUUAUAUUGGUUUUUUGAAAUUAAGUUCAAUAUCUCUAUAGUAAAUUUAGAUUUAAAUAAAAUUUCAAUAGAAGUGAUAAUUUUCGACAUUUUAAUUCUGAUUUUUUUUAUUAAUUAAGUUAAGCUAAAUUAAAAAAAACAUUUUAUAUUUUUAAAUAUAUAUUUAUUACUUAUAGUAUAUUUUGAUAUAUAAAAAAUUAAAUAAAUAAAAUAAGAUAUUUGAUUUUAAUUUAUUUUUUUUAAAUAAAAAUUAUAUUAUUAGUAUUAAAUAUAAAACAGAUUACUCAAAACUAAAAUCAACUGUUUCUUAAAAACAUUUCUUUAUUAUAUAUAAAGUAAUCUCUGCUAAUUGUUAUAAAAUAAAAAGCUGCAGUAAUGUGUACUUAGGUAGCAUAAUCAAUUGUCUAUUAAAUGUAGAGCUGUCUGAAUGAGUAAUAAGUAUUUAAAUUAAUUUCUUUUUUGUUUUUUGAAAUUAUAUAUUUGGUUAAGAUUCCAAUUUUUAUGUUUUAAGACGAAAAGACCCUAUAAAACUUUUCUUUAUCAAGUUGAAAUGGGGAAUUUGAAGAAUAAAUUUUUUUUAAUUAUAUUAUAUAAAGUUUCUUUAGGGAUAACAGGACAAUAAAAUUUUUUUAGUAUGUAUUUAUAAUUUUGUUUGUUACCUCGAUGUUGGCUUAUUUGAAGUAUUAGGCAAAAGGGCUUUAUAACUCAAUCUGUUCGAUUGUUAAAUAAAUACAUGAGCUGAGUUUAAACCGGUGUAAAUUAGGUUGGUUUUUAUCUAAAAGAAGAAUUCUUGGUACGAAAGGAUAAGUUAGUCUUUUAA